This 305-nucleotide ribosomal RNA is filed under the name uncultured bacterium. RNAcentral's name for it is "bacterial SSU rRNA". It matches the Rfam family "Bacterial small subunit ribosomal RNA", at positions 335 to 638 of the family's 1533-position model. The record is from RNAcentral.
CAUCCUACGGGACGCAGCAGUGAGGAAUAUUGGUCAAUGGGCGAUAGCCUGAACCAGCCAAGUCGCGUGAGGGAAGACGGCCCUAUGGGUUGUAAACCUCUUUUGUCGGGGAGCAAGGUCGCUACGUGUAGCGAUUUGAGAGUACUCGAAGAAAAAGCAUCGGCUAACUCCGUGCCAGCAGCCGCGGUAAUACGGAGGGUGCGAGCGUUAAUCGGAAUUACUGGGCGUAAAGCGCUCGUAGGCGGUAUGUCAAGUCAAGGGUGAAAUCCCCGCGCUCAACGUGGGAACUGCCUUUGAAACUGGCA